RNAcentral lists this long non-coding RNA (266 nucleotides) under Mustela putorius furo (domestic ferret). RNAcentral's name for it is "lncRNA (ENSMPUG00000027090.1)". Lineage: Eukaryota; Metazoa; Chordata; Mammalia; Carnivora; Mustelidae. The record is from RNAcentral.
GGUAGGGAGGCAGGUAUAUAGAGAAAAUACAGAAAUUGGAGUGAAUUUAAGGUAUUCCCUAGUACAUGCCCCUCAUACAUAUAAACAUUUGACUGUGUUUCAUUGAGAGAAUGUGUGUGGCCAAAUAUAAUGCUCUUCAAAUGGUGACAUAACAGCAAGCCUAUCUUAGUCUAAGGCUUGGAGAAAGAGACAGGAAGAGAGGAAAAGCAAACAGAGAAGACUGGGGAGAAAUUAAAAGACUGCAACAUAGAUACAGAUGACAGAGA